RNAcentral lists this long non-coding RNA (4617 nucleotides) under Olea europaea subsp. europaea. Lineage: Eukaryota; Viridiplantae; Streptophyta; Magnoliopsida; Lamiales; Oleaceae. The record is from RNAcentral.
GCUACCUAUUCCUCUUCCAUCUUUCUCAAAUAUCUUUCUUUGACAUCUUCUAAUUCUUCUUCUAUUGGAGGUAUUUAUUUUGGAAAAGUGAAUUCAAGUGCAUUAGAAAUUGAUUUAUUUGUGUGAUUGUGUCCCUUUCUGCAUUUUUUUUUAACUGUUUUAUUGCUUUUGAUUCAUAGGUUGAAGAAGACAAAAGGAAUGCUCUUUCUUCUCUACAGAAGAUUAGGAAGGUACGAACUUUGAUGCAUAAUGUACUAGGCAUUAAAUUUAGUAAUUUGCUUAGUUAUAUGUUCUCGGUUAGGCCAAGUACGAAGCUUCAAUCAUUUUUAUGGAUGUUUUAUGUCAAAAUUGAUUUUUUAUUCAUAUUAUUUAUAAAUAAAAAAUGAUUAUAUCUAUUUAUUUAAAUUUAAUUCUAAUGUAUGUAGGUUGAAUUUAAAAUCUGCAUAGGCAAGCCUAAAGAUAGUCUUGCGUAUAAAUCAUUUCAGUUCAAUACAACUCUACAUUGAACGUUUUAGAGUUACACUUCUGAUUUCGAAGGUUUUUUGGUGCUAUUGCGUUAUUAGUUGAUUUGCUAAAAAUUUCUUAAUUUUAUAGUCUUUAUUUAAAAACAAUAAUUUGCAUAGUAUUUAAUUCAAUGUCAACAGUUAUGGAGAGAUAUCUUAAAAGGAAGGCUUCAAUUUCUAUUGAAGGUCAAAAUAUUGAUAGAAAAAAAAUCCAGCAAUGUCGAUGUGGUUGCUGAAGAUUAAAUGGAUAUUCAAGUUGAAAGUGACACUUUUGUAGAGUGAGGUUUUCAAAUUGGUAAAGGAAAAGAAAAGCUUCAAGAGCACGUUGGAAAUCACAAUAGUGCACACAAUAAAGCUCGAAUUAAGUCACUACAACAAAAGUGGCCUUUUAAGGCAUUCAUUUACAGCGUGCAUCUAGCGCAUGUUGUAAAAAUAGACCAAUUACGACAUGCGAUAUAUGUAUGCCGUUAAAAACCAAUGGAUUGAACUAUUUACGGCAUGCUUUCUUUGCAUGCCGUAAAUGUUAACUUUGCAUUAUUGCACGCCAUUUCUAGGGCAAUUUCUUAUUUUUUUUAUUUUUAAAUAUAUAACAUCAAUAUUGGAGGGAGAAAUCCCAUUACAAUUAAGCCAAACCACUUCCGAAGGAGCCCUCUGCCUUCAAAGUUGGAAUCCCCAGAGUCUUGCUGUCGGCGAUUGAACCUAUAAUACUUACAAGUUACACAAUUCAACCUAUCACCCCUACUCCCUUCUCCUCUAAAUUUAGCCCUGGUUGCGAGCCUGUGACCGUUCAAUGGAGCUAGAUUUCAUGAGAAACGCUGCUACCUUUUGCCUCCCGUGGUUGUCAUCCAUCUUCCAUCGUUGCCAUCGCAGUCAACCCAUAAAUGGAGUGAUAAGGUUAGUGUAUACUAUAUGUUAUUAGUUUUGAUUUUACAGUAUUAGUUUUGUUUUAAAGACUCCCUUCCCAAUUACUUAUGCUGAAUUUGUGAUUUUGUGAUUUUGGAAAGUUAGAGCAUUAUGCAUUCUUUUACUCAAGCAAUCCCCAAAUUUUAAUACACCUAGCCAACUAAUUAUCUGCACUAGUUCUGUAUGUACUAUUGUUCAAUUUCCAAAAGUGACCUAUGAAAAUGUAUGAAGGACUUGCUUUAAACAUGGGUUGCAGUAGUGUUGAAUUAUUUUUUUGUAAUUUCAGCUCGUGUGAAACUUUAUUGUCAAAAUGACGUACCUAAUUGGAACUUAAUUUCUAUGAUGUCCUAAUAUAAUCGUUUUCACUGUGUAAUAACAGAUUAUAACUUAGUAGUGUUGGUAUAUUAUCAUGGAUAAAGAUUGGGUACACUUAUCAAAGUUAUCUUGUCUUCUUAAAUUUAGAAUAUUUUAAAAUAUGUCUACAAUGAUUUAUUUAGCAUGUUUUCAUAGAGUUUCAAAGGUAUAUCAACGUGGUGCAAGAAAAUUUGUAAAUAUGGUGCAAGUCAAUGCAGGAAAAUCAAAUGUCAUAUGCCCUUACAAAUGUUACAAAAACCUAUUCCACCAACAUUUGAUAUACUGUAUGGGCAUUUGAUCAUUAAUGGCAUGGAUCCUACGUAUACUACUUCGGUGUUUUAUGGGAAAAAAUCGAAUGCAGCGUCAUUGUCUCCUCAAGAUGCAAAAAAUUUAGAUACGUAUUGGAUGUAUAGAGAUACAUUCUUUCAGGAUGACAAUAUUAUAGAACCCGAGAAUGAAGAUAUUGAGAAAGACUUUUCAAAUUUAUAUGAGGGCGUAGAAAUUCCUUUAUAUCCUGGUUGCAUAAAGUAUACAAGGAUAUCAACAACUGUUGUCUUAAACAAGCUUAAAGUUACAUAUGGCAUAUUUUACAAUAGUGUCAAUGAACUUCUUGAUAUUAUCUGAGAUAUGAUACUACGUGGGAACACCCUUCCUAAUUCUUUCAAUUCAACAAAAAAGUUAUUGAAACCCUUUGAUUUAGGGUAUGAGAAGAUACAUGUAUGUGUAUAUUAUUGUUGUCUGUUUAGAAAUGAUCUAGAGAAUUUGGAGACAUGUCCUAAAUGUGCACCUUCACGAUGAAAAGUCAAUGAACGUAGUAAGAAGAUUCAAAAAGGGAUACCUGCAAAGGUUUUACAAUAUUUUUUUAUUAUACCACAAUUUAGAAGAAUGUUUAGGUCACUUAAUAAGGCAGAACAUUAAUAUGGCACUCAAAUCACAAAAUUCUAAAUGGAAAAAUGCGUCAUCUAGUUGAUCAUUAGCUUGGGAGAGAAUUGAUAAAAAAAAAUGGCCUUGUUUUGCAUCAGAAUCACAAAAUCUUAGGCUUGGCCUUUCUUCUGAUGGAUUUAAUCCCUUUGGUAAUCUAAGUUCUAGGUAUAAUUGUUGGCCAGUGAUACUAGUUAUAUAUAAUCUCCCUCCUUAGAUAUGCAUGUCUAAGGAAAAUUUGUUAUUGACUUUAUCAAUCCAAGGUCCCAAGCAACUUGGAAAUGAUAUAGGUGUGUAUCUAGAUUCACUAAUAGAAGAUUUAAAGGAGAUGUUGAACAUUGGUGUUGAAGUAUACGAUACAUUUACUAAGUCCACAUUCAAUUUGAAAACUGUGUUGAUGUGGACAAUUAAUGAUCUUCCAGUUUAUGGCAACUUAUCAGGAUAUCCUACGAAAGGCGAAGCAGCAUGUCCAGUAUGUGAUUUAUCGACAUGUGUAAAAUGGUUGCCCUGUAGUCGAAAGUUUUCAUACAUGGGUCACAAAAGAUUUCUUGCACAUAAUCACCCUUAUUGGUUGAAAGAAGCUUUGUUUGAUGGAAACAAGGAGCAUGGGCCUAAUCCUAAAAUAUUAACCGAUCGAGAAGUGAUAUGUUCAAUCAAGAAUGUUAACAAUAAUUGGGGGGGAAAUAGGGAAAAAAGGACAGAUAAAAAAUUAGAUUCUAAUUGGCCUUGGAAAAAAAAAGUCAAUAUUUUUGAAACUGCUAUAUUGAAAGGUUAGUUAUUUUAAACUAUUUUGAAAAAUUUAUUUCUUUGCUUAAACUUUUUUCUAUAUUUAUAUUGUUAUUUUUCAGACACUAUUUUUGGUUCAUAAUUUGGAUGUAAUGCACAUGGAGAAGAAUGUUUGCGAAAGAAUUUUUGGCACCAUUUUGCUUAUGAAGGGAAAAUCAUAAAAUGGGUUAAAUUCUUGUAAGGAUUUAAUCAAUAUGGGUAUUAGAAAGAAUCUUCAUCCAGAAUUGAAAGGAAAUACAUAUUACCUCCCUGUAGCAUCAUAUAUGUUAUACAAAAAAGAGAAAGAGUUAUUUUGUAAGAGGAUAUUUGAUUUAAGAUUACCUAAUGGUUAUAGUUCUAACAUUUCAAAGUGUGUAUCAUUAGCAGAUAAUAGGAUUUUAAAUAUGAAAUCUCAUGAUUGUCAAGUGCUCAUACAACAAUUGCUAUUAGUUGCAUUACAAGGGCUUUUACCUAGAGGACCAAGAACUGCAAUUUUUCGACUAUGUACAUUUUUCAACAAAAUAUGUCAAAGAGUCAUCGAUAAAAAUAAAUUAGAAAAACUUGAGGAGGAUGUUGCUAUAACUUUGUGUAUGCUAGAAAGGUAUUUUCCCCAUCCUUUUUUGACAUAAUGAUUCAUUUAACCAUUCACUUUGGGCGUAACGUUCAUAUUGAUGGACCUAUGCAAUAUCUUUGGAGGUAUCCAUUUGAGAGGUAAAUUACUAUUGUAAUUUUCUAAGUAUUCAAGCUUCUUCUUCCAUUUCCUUAGAUUUUUCAUGCCUAUUAUAUGAUUAAUCAGGUUUAUGAACACACUUAAAGGAUAUGUGAGAAAUCAUUCAAGACUUGAGGGCUACAUAACAGAGCGUUAUUUAGCUGAUGAAUGUAUGCAUUUUUGUAGUGGUUACAUGAAACAAGCUUCUGAAGUAGGUUCAACGUACUUGAAAUUAGGAUUUUGAGAAUGAAACAAAUAUCGAUGGACGUCCAAUUUCUACAGAAAAGUCAAAGACUUUGAAUCCAGAAAUGUUAGAGAAUGCUCAUCGUUAUGUGCUGUUUAAUAGCGUUGCAGUUGAGCCAUAUAUAAUGUAAUGAAGUUAGUUAAUAUAUUAGUUUAACAUUGAUUGAUGUUCUCGCACUUAAAGAAAACACAGCAAUUUUUAUGACCAUUAAUUUAAUA